This is a non-coding RNA of Schistosoma mansoni, 46 nucleotides long. NCBI's taxonomy places the organism in Eukaryota, Metazoa, Platyhelminthes, Trematoda, Strigeidida, Schistosomatidae. The record is from Rfam.
GCACUGCUGACGAGUCCCACACUAGAACGAAACUAUCGUCCAGUGC